GAUUCCCCUAGUAACGGCGAGUGAAGCGGGAAAAGCUCAAAUUUAAAAUCUCAUUAGAGAAUUGUAGUUUAUGAAAGCGUUUUCGAUGAAGGCCUGGGUACAAGUUCUCUGGAACGAGGCAUCAUAGAGGGUGAGAAUCCCGUCUUUGAUCUAGUAACCUUCACAAUACGAAGCGUCUUUUAAGAGUCGGGUUGUUUGGGAUUGCAGCCCUAAAUUGGUGGUAUAUUCCAUCUAAAGCUAAAUAUUGGCGAGAGACCGAUAGCGAACAAGUACCGUGAGGGAAAGAUGAAAAGAACUUUGAAAAGAGAGUUAAAAGUGCGUGAAAUUGCUAAAAGGGAAACGUUUAACGCCAGUGUUGGGUAUAGGAAAUCAGCCUUGGUAUUCCGGGGUGCACUUUCCUGUAUCCAGGUCAACAUCAGUUUUUUGUGCCGUAAAAAGAUUGGUAGAAGGUGAGUACAUUAGUACUGUUAUAGCUCCAAUAAAUGCGGUAUAAAAGACUGAGGAACGCGGUACAUGUCAUUCCCAGUUGCCGUUCACUUAAGGGAUGAUGACAGCAUGCUGAUAUUAUUACUUGAGGGUGCGCCCGAUUGAAGAAUAAAUGUGCUUAGGAUGUUGACGAAAUGGUUUUAAAUGACCCGUCUUGAAACACGGACCAAGGAGUCUAACAUAUAUGCGAGUAUUUGGGUUGCAAGCCCUUAUGCGUAAUGAAAGUGAAUGUAAGUGUGAAGCUUCGGCUGCAACAUUGACCGAUCUGGAUUUUUAAUGAUAGAUUUGAGUAAGAGCAUGUAUGCUAGGACCCGAAAGAUGGUGAACUAUACCUGAUUAGGCUGAAGCCAGAGGAAACUCUGGUGGAGGGUCGUAGCGAUUCUGACGUGCAAAUCGAUCGUCAAAAUUGGGUAUAGGGGCGAAAGACUAAUC
RNAcentral lists this ribosomal RNA (918 nucleotides) under uncultured fungus. RNAcentral's name for it is "partial 28S ribosomal RNA". It matches the Rfam family "Eukaryotic large subunit ribosomal RNA", at positions 73 to 936 of the family's 3401-position model. Lineage: Eukaryota; Fungi. The record is from RNAcentral.